CACGUAGGAGGCGAGCGUUGUCCGGAAUCAUUGGGCGUAAAGAGCGCGCAGGCGGCUUGGCAAGUCGGGUGUGAAAUCCCGGGGCUCAACCCCGUGACUGCAUCCGAUACUGUCAGGCUAGAGGUAGGUAGGGGAGAUCGGAAUUCCUGGUGUAGCGGUGAAAUGCGCAGAUAUCGUAAGGAAGACCAGUGGCGAAGGCGAGUCUCUGGACAGUUACUGACGCUGAGGCACGAAGGCCAGGGGAGCAAACGGG
RNAcentral lists this ribosomal RNA (253 nucleotides) under uncultured bacterium. RNAcentral's name for it is "partial 16S ribosomal RNA". It matches the Rfam family "Bacterial small subunit ribosomal RNA", at positions 524 to 776 of the family's 1533-position model. The record is from RNAcentral.